Lepidothrix coronata (blue-crowned manakin) is the source of this 367-nucleotide long non-coding RNA. RefSeq lists it as uncharacterized. The record is from RefSeq and is a predicted model, not a curated record. NCBI's taxonomy places the organism in Eukaryota, Metazoa, Chordata, Aves, Passeriformes, Pipridae. The transcript has 3 exons.
GGGGUGGCCACCCCACAGGAGGGGACACACAGGCUGCCACAGGACAUGCUUCGGUUCAGGAGGAGUGGGGAAAAGCUCCUGCAUUUCCAAAGCAGAUGGAAAAUCCCCAAGCUCCCAAAGGACUUGAGUCCACUGGUACAGUCCCAGCACUGAGAAAUGGUGGAACACAGAGCCAAAGAUCCCUUGAGAAAGCCACGGACGAGGAAAGAAAGCUGGAGAACUCCUUGUCUGUGUGAACAUGUCCUGUGGCAGCCUGUGUGUCCCCUCCUGUGGGGUGGCCACCCCGGCCCCUCUGGCUGACACGUGCAACGAGCCCUGCGUGCGGCAGUGCCCCGACUCCACGGUGGUGAUCCAGCCCCCGGCCUCA